This 254-nucleotide long non-coding RNA is filed under the name Homo sapiens (human). RNAcentral's name for it is "HSALNT0310419". The record is from RNAcentral. Lineage: Eukaryota; Metazoa; Chordata; Mammalia; Primates; Hominidae.
GAGAAAGUCAGCUGGGGGUUGCGGUCCCGGGAAGGGUCCGGGUUCAAUGCGGAGGAGAGGCAUUCAAGAAACAGGAGCUAUCAACCAAAGCUGGUCAGGCCAACCAAAAGACCCCUCACCCACGAUGCUUGCCCGCCCCUGAGCCAGACAGGAUCUGGGGAAUGAACUGAGUCACACAAGGCCCCCUGCCUCGCAUCCCCAACCCUCAGGACGGCAGGACAACAUCUCACUCUGUCGCCCAGGCUAGAGUGCAG